GGCGCGUAGCUCAGGUGGUUAGAGCGCACGCCUGAUAAGCGUGAGGUCGGUGGUUCGAGCCCAGUACGGGUCA
This 73-nucleotide transfer RNA is filed under the name Streptococcus pneumoniae. RNAcentral's name for it is "tRNA-Ile(gat)". It matches the Rfam family "tRNA". Rfam says of the family: Transfer RNA (tRNA) molecules are approximately 80 nucleotides in length. Their secondary structure includes four short double-helical elements and three loops (D, anti-codon, and T loops). Lineage: Bacteria; Bacillati; Bacillota; Bacilli; Lactobacillales; Streptococcaceae. The record is from RNAcentral.